GCUUCACUUAGAAGGGUUUGUUCCGAUGCUGCUCACAUUUGAUCCACGCGGAUUUACUUCUGGGGCUGGAUUCUUCCAGAGUCACCCUAAAGAGAAUUAUCAAAAGGGCCUGACAGACAUGAGUGCCUGCUCUUCUUGGAGACUCGGGUUUCUUACAAACAGCUAGGGUCCCAGACCUCUAGAACCAAGGGAAUUAUGGACUCAUUCCCUAGAAAGCCCCCGCCUGGCUUCUGAUUCACUACUACCCAUGUCAGGGCUACUGUGAAGAGUCUCACCAACUGACUGACUUUUCUUGUUUUUGCAGUCCUUUAAAUCCACAAAUGUAUAUGCUUUAUUUUAUAUUAUUUAUUAUGUACAUAUGUCUCUACUGUUAGUAUAUCAUGUGACUAAGACACUGUUUGGAAGCCCCUCAUCCACUGAGCCUAGGGUUCUGUUGUCCCUUAUUGGGUGAGAGGGUGGUGGUAUUUUCUGUUUAAAAGGAAAAAAAAAACCAUAUUGCUGCUCUUACCCCAGCUUCUUUCAUUGCCUUACCCCAGUCCAUUCCUGCUGGCCAGUAUCUGGGAGGUAGAUGGGGCAGAACUUCUCACGUCUCCAUGAGUUACUGCAGACGAGGUGUUUUGGUAACUGGGUCUCUUCGCUAUGGCUGAGACCAGAGCCUCCUUCCUCAUCCACACCCAAGCUAGAUCAAUGGCUUCUACCGCUCACUUGCAUUGCAGGAUCUAUCUGUAGUGGAAGCUGCCCAUCUAGGCUCUGACCAUGCCUCUUCCUGGUAUUAAGGCCCAGUUACCAGCAUUGCCUUGGGCCAAACGUAAGCCCUGCUUUGUCUGAUUUCCACCCUCCUCAGUCGUACCCACGGUAUCAUGGCGUACAUUUCAUGCAUUUGAGCAGUGGCAUCAAGAGAAAGCUAAACACAGGUCAUAUGCACAAGCUGUCAUAACAGACGCGUUUAUAAUCCAAAUGUUGUAGAUUUACAAUACCUAUUUAUUUGUACCAAUUUAUUUGUAAAUCUUGUGAUUGUUUUUAAAAGGUUUUGUUUAUUUCUAUUCUUCUAUUUAGAUAAAUGAUUUUCUGUUCACCC
RNAcentral lists this long non-coding RNA (1078 nucleotides) under Mus musculus (house mouse). RNAcentral describes it as "long non-coding RNA chr19:46882356-46883434". Lineage: Eukaryota; Metazoa; Chordata; Mammalia; Rodentia; Muridae. The record is from RNAcentral.